Coffea arabica (coffee) is the source of this 2291-nucleotide non-coding RNA. Lineage: Eukaryota; Viridiplantae; Streptophyta; Magnoliopsida; Gentianales; Rubiaceae. The record is from RefSeq and is a predicted model, not a curated record.
UUACUUUCCAGCCAUAUCGGGCAGAAAACUUUGACAAGCAAAGUAGUAGGAGUUCAUCCCUUCAAAUCAUAUGCUUUCCGCUCUUUUUCUGCCGCUCAAAGACUGCCAAACGUUAGAAAGACGCCUUUUUUGUCACCUUCUUUUCUUUUUUCGUCAAAUCACAGCUCCCAAACUAGCUAUAGCGACAAAUCAAACAUCACAAUCAUCUCGUCACCACAUGAUUCUAAUGUUGGAAAUUUCAUUAGCAAGCAAGCAAAUUUUAAGCAACCAAGAGGAAAAUGAAAAAUUUUAUACAAGCAACAGCGAGCUAAUGCAAUAUUGUUAGGAAUGGUAGCUGCCGGAGUUAUGGUGUCAUUGAUACCAGGGAUCGGCUCCACUUUGCCAUUAACGAAGAGCCCAUUUUUCAGGCGAUCGAGUACUAUCAGCCUCCGCUUCAUCAGCGAAAACACCAAGCGACUUGAGCAGCAGGGGCACGCCAUUCGCUGUAAUUUUAACCACCCUGGUUACCAGAUCCAAGAAGAAGGCCAGGUUGAUAGCCAUGAUUACAGAGUCUUCUUGCUUGAUAAUACUGGCAAAAAGUGUUUAUUACAUGUGCAGAUUUCGCCUUGGCAUGAUAUACCCCUACACGUUGGCAACGGCGUGUUCAAUUUUGUUGCUGAAAUUUCUAAAGAUUCAAACUUGAGAAUGGAGCUUGCCACCGAUGAACUAUACACCCCUCUCAAACAAGAUAAAAUAAGGGGUAGAAUUCGAUGCAAUAUGAAGUGGAAUUAUGGAUUGCUUCCUCAAACUUGGGAAGAUCCUUCAUCUGCAAAUCCAGAAGUUGAUGGCGCAUUUGGAGAUAAUGAUCCUGUUGAUGUUGUUGAGAUUGGGAGCACCUGUGCCAAGGUUGGUGAGGUUUUGAGAGUCAAGCCACUAGCUACUCUUGCACUGAUUGAUGAGGGUCAACUUGAUUGGAAAAUAAUAGCUGUUUCCCUGGAUGAUCCAAGAUGUUCUCUCGUUGAUGAUGUUCAUGACAUUGAAAAAUAUUUUCCGGCCACCCUAACUGCGAUCAGCGAGUUUUUUAGAGACUAUAAGGUCUAUGAUGGAAUACCUGGCAACAAGUUUGGUCUAGGAAACAAGCCAGCAAACAAGGUACACGGUCAAUAAUGCAAGAUCCGGAUUUGUCUUUUACUGAAUGGAUGAGUUAAAAGAUAUUCCAUUUUCCUGAUUCUGGAAAUGUCCUUUCAUAAAAGGUUUGAUUUCUUGUGAAUCAGUCAUACAACCCAUAUUCUGCUUAUUAUAUACCCUUAUCAUAAAUGCUCUAUGGCUUUUUGUUUUUGGUCUGCAUCAAUGUCUCAAGCUGCCCGAGUUCAUAGAGUGCUAAAACUCAGGUUAUCAAUCAUUUAUAUAUGGAUCACCAAACUCUAGUAAUCUAUUAAAGUUUGUCAGUAAUCUCAAGCAAGAUAUUAUGGUACAACCUGGAAACUUCCAUUCCAACUUAUAAUUAGGCUAAUGCAUUUGUUUCUAAAAGUCCAUUUAGUGGCAGCCCUUUGUUGAAAAUGCCUGCUAACAGAGAGGGAGAAAAAAUUCCCUUACCAUGUCAUUGCCUACUGAAUGUAGGUUGGGAAGAAGGGGUAAAGGAAGGGAGUGUCUUACUGUAGGUUUGAGACAAGGAGGGAGGGUUAGAACAGCCACACAAUGCUAUGUCGAGGGUAAUUUCUCUUAACAUUUUGGGGCGGAAUUUGUACUCUUUUGCUGUUGUGAAUACUUCAUUGGCAAUUUCUCUUCUUAUACUUAUGUUCUUGAGACAAAAGAAAAGUUACUUGGAAGAGAGAUUAUAACCCGCACACAUUCUUUUUUCGAGGUCAGAGGAAGGUGAUACUUAGCCCCCCCGGGGGUGGGGGUUCCCUGGUUGUACUUUUGCUCUCAAAUAUGUUUUCGUUUCUAAAUUCAUAUGAGCAUAAUGGGGAUAACUGCUAAUUGGAUGGCCAUCGGGGUGGCUAACUACUUGAUUGUGUAUCAGUCUACCCGUUCUCUUGACUUCCCUCUUGCACCUCCUUUUGGCUUUUGACCUCCCCAUUAUCCUAUCCUCCAAUGGAGACGAGAUGACUGAUGAGAGGAAAGAAGCACAUCCACCUAUUGAAGUCUUUUAUGAUGAAUGAAAAGGCUACGAGAGCAAAGAAAACAGAAAUUGGGGGACGGAAGAAGUGGAAGACAGGAGAAGAUUACGCUGUCAAGGUUAUCAGGGAAACCAAUGAAGCUUGGACUAAACUUGUCACAAGGUCUAUCUCGGCGGGUGAGCUCUCCCUUGC